GCGCGAUUAGCUCAGCGGGAGAGCGCUUCCCUGACACGGAAGAGGUCCCUGGUUCAAUCCCAGUAUCGCACA
This 72-nucleotide transfer RNA is filed under the name Streptomyces pristinaespiralis ATCC 25486. It matches the Rfam family "tRNA". From Rfam's summary of the family: Transfer RNA (tRNA) molecules are approximately 80 nucleotides in length. Their secondary structure includes four short double-helical elements and three loops (D, anti-codon, and T loops). Further hydrogen bonds mediate the characteristic L-shaped molecular structure. tRNAs have two regions of fundamental functional importance: the anti-codon, which is responsible for specific mRNA codon recognition, and the 3' end, to which the tRNAs corresponding amino acid is attached (by aminoacyl-tRNA synthetases). tRNAs cope with the degeneracy of the genetic code in two manners: having more than one tRNA (with a specific anti-codon) for a particular amino acid; and 'wobble' base-pairing, i.e. permitting non-standard base-pairing at the 3rd anti-codon position. The record is from Rfam by way of RNAcentral. Lineage: Bacteria; Bacillati; Actinomycetota; Actinomycetes; Kitasatosporales; Streptomycetaceae.